This 600-nucleotide unclassified non-coding RNA is filed under the name Hevea brasiliensis (rubber tree). The record is from RNAcentral. Lineage: Eukaryota; Viridiplantae; Streptophyta; Magnoliopsida; Malpighiales; Euphorbiaceae.
AGUAGUAAACCGGUUUGGGAUAGGUACAGCUAGUAAUACGUAAAUUCUAAUUGGGAUUUGGACGGAUUCGAUUGUAUAUAACCGGUUCAGGUUUGGAUACCUUUAAUUUUAUGGGUACCCUGCCUGGUACCAUCCUACCUAGUGUCACCCCUUUUCGAUUUUGGUUCAUACCGGUAUAUUGAUGAUUGUUAUUCAGUUUAUUAAGUAUUAAUUUAUUUGUUGAUAUUCAUUCAUCCUUUUGCAUUUUAUUUAUGGUAUUUCUUUUUUUAUUUUUUUAUUUGGGGGUAUGUUUCUUUAAAUCUAUUUGUUUGUUUUGUUUGCGUUUGACACCAAAUUGUUGAUUUUUUUUCUUCUUCAUUUAUCUUUGUAAUUUCACGUUUAUAUGGGUUUGGAUGUUUGGUUUCUGGAGUUAGGUUUUCAACACAUCUAAGCUGUUAAGUAACUUUGUUUCCCCAUGCUGAGAACGCUGCAUCACAAUUUGAGUAUUUAGAUGUUUGCUGUUGAAGAUGCAAGAGCAGUAAUUUAUAAGGGAUGAGAGUUAAUAUGAUUGGGUGCCUUGUGGUUUUCUUUGAUAUUGCUUUUUCUAUGAAUUUUUUUUUU